AUGCCUUAUUGCAUCACCAGGAACCCUUAUGUGACUGGUAACUCGGUGAUUGCAAUGAAAUACAAGGAUGGUGUGAUCAUGGCAUGUGAUACUGGAGCCUCCUAUGGGUCAACUUUGCGAUACAAGAGUGUGGAGCGUAUCAAGGCGGUUGGAAAGCAUAGCCUUAUUGGAGGGAGUGGGGAGUUCAGUGAUUUCCAGGAGAUUUUGCGCUAUCUGGAUGAAUUAACUUUGAAUGAUCAUAUGUGGGAUGAUGGGAACUCAUUGGGCCCCAAGGAAAUCCAUGCCUACCUGACAAGAGUAAUGUACAACAGGCGCAAUAAGUUUGACCCUCUAUGGAACUCCCUGGUGCUUGGUGGAGUGAAAAAGGGCCCAAAGGGCGAUGAGAAGUAUCUUGGCAUGGUUAACAUGAUUGGUACACACUUUGAGGAGAACCACAUUGCCACUGGAUUUGGGAACCAUAUGGCAAUCCCAAUACUUCGUGGUGAAUGGCGCGAGGACAUGACUUUUGAAGAAGCCGUUAAGCUGAUUGAGAAGUGCUUGCUGGUCCUGCUGUACCGUGACCGGUCAUCCAUCAACAAAUUCCAGAUUGCCAAGAUCACGACCGAGGGAUCAACCAUCUACCCGCCGUAUGCUCUGAAGACCAACUGGGGGUUUGCCGCCUUUGAGAACCCGUCCAAGGGUGCUGUAGGAACAUGGUAG
Molecule: ribosomal RNA, 699 nt
Filed under: Triticum aestivum (bread wheat)
Lineage: Eukaryota; Viridiplantae; Streptophyta; Magnoliopsida; Poales; Poaceae
Description: partial small subunit ribosomal RNA
Source: RNAcentral